AGAAUCAACGCUGGCGGCGUGCCUAACACAUGCAAGUCGAACGCGAAAGCCCCGCAAGGGGCCGGUAGAGUGGCAAACGGGUGAGUAACACGUGGGUGACCUGCCUUCGAGCGGGGGAUAACGUCCCGAAAGGGACGCUAAUACCGCAUGACAUCCUGCCUUUGAAGAGGCGGAGAUCAAAGCUGGGGAUCGCAAGACCUAGCACUCGAUGAGGGGCCCGCGCCUGAUUAGCUAGUUGGUGGGUAAUGGCUCACCAAGGCAACGAUCAGUA
Molecule: ribosomal RNA, 271 nt
Filed under: uncultured bacterium
Lineage: Bacteria
Description: partial small subunit ribosomal RNA
Rfam family: Bacterial small subunit ribosomal RNA
Source: RNAcentral